Molecule: long non-coding RNA, 1925 nt
Filed under: Canis lupus familiaris (dog)
Lineage: Eukaryota; Metazoa; Chordata; Mammalia; Carnivora; Canidae
Description: lncRNA (ENSCAFG00805002270.1, ENSCAFG00845008075.1)
Source: RNAcentral
GUGCUGACAGUACUUCGUUACCUGAACUACAAGAUGCAGACAAUCCCUCCACAGACAGAGAACAGCCUACUCUAAUUUGACUUUGACCCCAUCAAUCCAAAGAAAUUUCUUUGUCAAGGUCACCCACAACCUCCUUGAUAUUCUUCAUCUGGUCAGGCCUGAAAAAAACCUAUAGCACCAUGAGACAGAAGAACAGGUUCUGAAAUUAGCAAAAACAGGAAGACAAGAAGAAAGCUACCCUACUCCAUUCCCUGAAGACCAGAACAGCAGGUGUGCCUAUUUUCAGAGGUUCUGCUGGAUUAGAGGUCCUGGUUCUCAGUGGGACUAUCCUUCCACCAAGGAACAUGGUGAAUUUUGAAGAUAAUUAGCAUAUGAGUUGGUGGAAAGAAUGGGAAUGGAGAAGAAGACAAAGCACUUCUGAAUCUCCCCCUUCCGGCAAUAGCAGCUCUCGGACAUUGACAAAGAUCUGCUGUCUCUCUGGGUGCUGGGUGGGGAGGAAGAGAGCGGCUGCUAAUCCCUGACCUGGAGAUUUGUGGAACCCUUUCAUCUCGCAGAACUGAAAUUCCAUAGCUACUAAGCAACAACUGGCCAGCCCCUGGUAAUCACCAUUCUACAUGCUACAUCUAUGAAUUUGGCCGUUUUACAUACCUCAGGUUAACAUUACUUGAUGAUCAGAGGUGGGAUCCAGAGGAGACCCCCAACAACUCCAAGGCUGGUAAGCAAACAGAUGACUCUACCUACAGAGCCAGGUGGGUUCACUGCUUUCUUCCCGACUUUGGGGUUUGAGAGUGAGGUUUCCCCAGAUUUCAAGCUCCACGUUUGUGUGUUAACUCUUUGGGCUUUAUUGAGGACCUCUUUUAAGGCUCUGGUGAUGUUUUUAUCUCUGAGAGCACUCCUCUGGCCUUCAUUCUGUCUCCAUUUUGAAAUUGGACUGUACUUGAUGGAACUGUGCCAGCCUUUGGUCUGAUUCUUUCUGGAACCAUGCUGAUCCUGUUGAAACUGGUGUUUAGGAAUUUCUCUCUGGUCUAGAGAAAAACCUCUAAGAAAUGGGAUUUCAGUCAUUAAAAUACUUUGAGUGGCCCCCUCCUGACCCUCACUGGGCCUCUGGCUGGGUUUAUGUGCAAAAACUAUGGCCCCUCUGCAUGGACAUUUAUAAUUAAGUGAACUGACUCAACCAAAAGUUAGAACUUCAAUGGCCAUUUUAGGGAACUUUUGGUCUCCCCAAACUUGUUUUACCCAUAAUUAAAUUAGAAAGCCACAGUUCUAAAACAAACAUACAAAAAAAACUGAAUGGGAUACCCAGUGUGAUAGUACCUUGAAGCACCUUGAAGCUUCUAGGUGCUUUCAGGGUUCUAAGUUUGCCUCUUUGCAAAAUACAAUUUCUAAACUAACUGAGGCAAAUAGACAAUUGAAAGGAGUCAAAAUGGCUCUGGGUCCUCUUUUUUCCCUCCUCCAUUUUCUUUGUUGGCAGACACCUUGUGCUCAGACGACUCCUCCAGUGCUCUUUCCCCGUAUUCCCUCUCCUGAACUUCUCUUUUCCUCCAUAUCUCUCCCUGCUCCCUCCUCUCCUGACCCUAUUAAAACCUGCCUCUUUAAAGCUAAGUCAAUAAACCUCAAGCUUCUGAUGUUCCCAGGACUAGGGCCAAACUAUAAGCCAUAGUCAAAGGGUUUUCUAAGUGACUGAGGACCCCCCCAGAGAUUUGUUGAAGAAUUUACCAUUGCUGUUUGCACUAACCAGUUUGGUUUCUCAGAUUUCUAUCAGUCCACGUGCUUAUUGGUGAGGACCAGGGCAAACAUUGGAUGAAAACAGCUGAAAAGGAACAUCCUGAAGGAGAUUUUGAGAAGCAAAUCCCUAACUUUUGUCAAGAUGGUAGAGCACUCACUGGAAAUCUCCACCAAGCAGUUACCAUAGCUUUUCCCAAGCC